UCUCGCAGUGUACUUAUAGUGAUGUGUUUUGUGAAUUCUGUGAUAAUGGACUGCAUUAACGGGUGAAGGGUAUUUUUCUGAAGACCAGAGUCGCCCUUCCUGGGAGUACCAUAGAACUUCAGCUGAGGAACGAGCAGCAGAAACACAGAUUUCAAUACAGCAAAAGGAUUGAACACAUCCAGAAGAAAAGGAAGGAAAUGAUCUCUUUGUACUGAUUACAGUCAUCAUCAUCAUCAUCAUCAUCAACAUAUUCUUAUUCGGACUUAUCUACACUUUACUCAUACAUCUGCUGGAAACUUUAAUUGGCGCAAGGAAGGAGGUUGGACUAGAAGUAAAAACAGAGAAAGCCAAGUAUAUGUUGCUGUCUCGUCACCAAAAUGCAGGCAAAAUCAUGAC
Cryptotermes secundus is the source of this 396-nucleotide long non-coding RNA. RefSeq lists it as uncharacterized. The transcript has 3 exons. Lineage: Eukaryota; Metazoa; Arthropoda; Insecta; Blattodea; Kalotermitidae. The record is from RefSeq and is a predicted model, not a curated record.